Molecule: long non-coding RNA, 448 nt
Organism: Erinaceus europaeus (western European hedgehog)
Lineage: Eukaryota; Metazoa; Chordata; Mammalia; Eulipotyphla; Erinaceidae
Exons: 2
Source: RefSeq, a predicted model, not a curated record
UUAUAGACCAUGUCCCCUUGCCUGCAGGCUCUGUCCCCAGACGCAGAAAACUCCCCUUCGUUACUAGGUUAUGCCUACAGAGGCAGGAAACGCCCUUUGAGGCAAGAGAUGCCCCCAGAGGCAUGAAGCGCUCCCAGAGGCAAGAAAUGCCCUUUUGCCUGCUAGGCCUUGCCCUUUGAGGCAAGAAACAUUCCCCUUGGCAUCACACUGGUUAUUGCUGCUCGCCUAUUUUGUUUUCCAUGUCUUAUGCCAGUUCUUUUGAAAACGCCUGUACGAUAUAGGUUUCUGUUCACCCCGCACUCCUGAUACUAUGGCAAAUAGUUAAAAAGAAAGGGGGAGAUGUUGGUAUGCCUGUAUAGGGAUUGGUUUGAUCCCAUUCAAAGUGGUCUAUUUACAUGGUUUGAUCCCAUUCAAAGCGGUCUAUUUACAUAAAUCACUUUUACAUUUA